UCGGGAAUUUUGGGCAAUGGGCGCAAGCCUGAUCCAGCCAUGCCGCGUGAGUGAAGAAGGCCUUCGGGUUGUAAAGCUCUUUCGGCGGGGACGAAAUGGUUCGUGCCAAUACCACGGACUGAUGACGGUACCUGAAGAAGAAGCACCGGCUAACUACGUGCCAGCAGCCGCGGUAAUACGUAGGGUGCAGGCGUUAAUCGGAAUUACUGGGCGUAAAGCGUGCGCAGGCGGUUUGUUAAGACAGAUGUGAAAUCCCCGGGCUUAACCUGGGAACUGCGUUUGUAACUGGCAGACUGGAGUGUGGCAGAGGGGGGUGGAAUUCCAAGUGUAGCAGUGAAAUGCGUAGAUAUUUGGAGGAACACCGAUGGCGAAGGCAGCCCCCUGGGCUAACACUGACGCUCAUGCACGAAAGCGUGGGGAGCAAACAGGAUUAGAUACCCAGUAGUCCCUGAGCGGGCUGGCAAGGCGCAU
RNAcentral lists this ribosomal RNA (471 nucleotides) under uncultured bacterium. Its description in RNAcentral is "bacterial SSU rRNA". It matches the Rfam family "Bacterial small subunit ribosomal RNA", at positions 355 to 825 of the family's 1533-position model. The record is from RNAcentral.